AUUGAACGCUGGCGGAAUGCUUUACACAUGCAAGUCGAGCGGCAGCGCGGGGGCAACCCUGGCGGCGAGCGGCGAACGGGUGAGUAAUACAUCGGAACGUGUCCUUGAGUGGGGGGAUAGCUCGGCGAAAGCCGGAUUAAUACCGCAUAAGCUCUGCGGAGGAAAGGCGGGGACUGGUAACGGCCUCGCGCUGUUGGAGCGGCCGAUGUCGGAUUAGCUAGGUUGGUAGGGGUAAACGCCCACCAAGGCGACGAUCCGUAGCUGGUCUGAGAGGAUGAUCAGCCACACUGGAACUGAGACACGGUCCAGACUCCGUACGGGAGGCAGCAGGU
Molecule: ribosomal RNA, 332 nt
Filed under: uncultured bacterium
Lineage: Bacteria
Description: bacterial SSU rRNA
Rfam family: Bacterial small subunit ribosomal RNA
Source: RNAcentral